Long non-coding RNA from Topomyia yanbarensis, 1072 nucleotides. RefSeq lists it as uncharacterized. The transcript has 3 exons. The record is from RefSeq and is a predicted model, not a curated record. Lineage: Eukaryota; Metazoa; Arthropoda; Insecta; Diptera; Culicidae.
AGCAUGCCGUUCCUAGGCUUAUUUGUUGGACAUUUGUUUAUCUUUCUGUGCAGAAGUGUCGUUAGAUAUCGUAGAGCUCAACAGCUAAAACUGGGAAAAGAUUUCACAAUUGCAUGUAUCUGGACAAUAUUAAGCAAACACACAUGCCUGGGCUGAUGCCGCUUAAAUCGCACGACGCUGGAGACAUUGAUUUUUGUACCAAUUUUCUUUUUACUUGUAGUGUUUCCGAAUUAUCGAUAGCCGCCGAGAAAAUUAAACCUCGGCAUAUGAACGAUUACGAAUUUAUUCCGUAUGACGUAUUUCGUGAAACGACAUAAAGAAUUCACAGUAAAGGCUAACGUGGUUCCUGCACCUACUACAGCGUCAAAUCAUUCGAGCAAAACCCAGUAAACGCCCUGCCUAAGAAAAGAACUUCUAAAUCAUACAACAGUCCUCCGUUAGUUCAACGUACGGUGUCCAUCGAAUCGUUCAAAAAGCGACAAGCUAUAUCGCUUAAACAUAGCACAUCGUCGGUGAAGAAUUGGUUCGAUGUGUUGCAAUCGACAGUUUUCGGCAUAUGCCGCUGAGAGAGUGGUGGCGACAAGAAAACCAAAGGGAUGCUGUCAAAGUUAAAUCCGAGCGGAUCUGCACCGAUUUACUGCUUUGAAUCUAAUAGGCUCCUAUAAUGUCAGUACCAGCCCCACCUUAGCUUCCACCACUACUCUGUCAGCGACCAUAGAUUGUAUUGUGAGCUUGGCACAACGAUCAAGCGCCAGCAUUUCAGUGCAUAACGGUUGGGCAUUCGUGGAAGGAAUAGUAGCCCGUUCAACUACUCUGGUUAACGCGCUUGAAUCAUACUGGCCGACGAAAACAUAAGCAAAGAACAUGCUCAAUGAAGGCCUGCUGAAUAAACAGAAAUUGCAAUUAAUUAUUUACGCACCGGAGAGAUAGUGCUACAAUUCUACGGACACUGAUAAUCUUUAGUAGACAAGGAUCGGAAAUACGUCUGGUUUUUGAGACCGGUGUAUUAGCCUCUGUUCCAAUUAACCCGGAAUAAAAUAGGAGGAGUGAAUAUGCUGUUUAGAUAAGCUUG